GUAGUGCCCCUAAAACUCAGGCGGUGCCCUGUUGUGGUGGAGGUAUUAGUACUCUGAGAAAGUCAUGCGAUUUGAUGCACACUACACUUUUAUAUUUCCUUGCUUUGACAGUUGCCAUGCUUGAAAAUAAAUAUCAAUUAAUUACAUGUGUAUUAGCUUAAGAUUUAUUUCAUAUUUUUAUUAGAAUCUCAUGUCAUAUAAUUCAUGAUGUUUGUGGGUAACAUCCCUGAAAACCCUCACGAGACAACACUCAUCCACUAGGGUAACCUAGGGGUUUAACGGCUUGUUGCACAUGCUAAGUGCAAUCGUGAUUCCUACGAAAGUGAGUACUUAUCUUAGUUUUAUGUCUUUAGCUUCAAUAAAAAGUCAUAGGUUAAACCACACCUUUUGCACUCUCAUUUUAGUGUUUGCUCGUUAAUUGCUAGAGACUAGCAAUAAGCUAGUUAGGGGGUGUGAUGAGAGCACAAAAGUGCGAUCUAUACAUCCCUUAAAUUAGUAUUAUUGCUAACAAAAAAAUGAUAAAAGUACUGCAUUAAUAUUAUAUUUUUGUAGGGCGCAGGUGAUCGUAAAUCAAAGUUAAAUUUUGCAUUGGGUCCAAAAAUAUGCAUCACUACAGGUGAUCAGCCAACCGUUUGUAUCAACCCCAGUUGCACACUAGAAGGAGGUCAAGUUCAGCUUUCCACUUCAUCGCAGCUUCAGUCUUCUAUGAGCCCAAGCAUCUGAGCCGCGUGCAGCCCAUCCUCCCGCGUGGAAGAAUCACGAAGCAUCCUCCGCGUCUGCUUCUUCAGAGCGGCCCAACGUGUGACCCCUCAUCCAGUGUCUGUGCAACCUCCCAGCACCCAAAUCUCAUCCUUCGAUCCUGUCAUCCGAGUCCCAGUUCACAGCGCGUCCCAGCAUCCGCGUGCACCCUCCCAGAUUCUGCCUCAUCCGCGAGCCCAUCCACACGUCCGUGAUCUCAGCAUGUGC
This 966-nucleotide long non-coding RNA is filed under the name Phoenix dactylifera (date palm). RNAcentral's name for it is "long non-coding RNA (PDAC_LNC016540)". The record is from RNAcentral. Lineage: Eukaryota; Viridiplantae; Streptophyta; Magnoliopsida; Arecales; Arecaceae.